AUAUGAUGUGUAUUUACAGUCUUGGGCACAGUUCUGCCAAUCCACUAUCCACUAAUUAGCGAAGAUAAUUUUUGCAUUAGUGGAUUAUCUUUUCAAAUAAUUU
Molecule: long non-coding RNA, 103 nt
Organism: Thalassophryne amazonica
Lineage: Eukaryota; Metazoa; Chordata; Actinopteri; Batrachoidiformes; Batrachoididae
Exons: 3
Source: RefSeq, a predicted model, not a curated record